CAAUACAAUAAUGAAUGAGCCUGGAGAUGUAAAGAAAUGAGAUACUGUAUAUGAGCAUAACGUGAGUUGAAGAGGAGCAGAAACACAUCACGACGCCGGAGAAAGAAGAACACCUUCCACCAGGAUUCAUUAUCAUUCACAUUUAUAGUAAAUGGAUCAGAAAUGGAUUUCAGUCUUCUUCCUUCUCUCAGCUAUCUAUGGUCUGUCUGCAUACGUUCCUCAUCGGUAUCACUUUGUGAAUGAGAAUAAAACCUGGACUGAAGCUCAGAGCUACUGCAGACAGACCUACACUGAUCU
This is a long non-coding RNA of Colossoma macropomum (tambaqui), 297 nucleotides long. RefSeq lists it as uncharacterized. The transcript has 3 exons. Lineage: Eukaryota; Metazoa; Chordata; Actinopteri; Characiformes; Serrasalmidae. The record is from RefSeq and is a predicted model, not a curated record.